This 462-nucleotide ribosomal RNA is filed under the name uncultured bacterium. Its description in RNAcentral is "bacterial SSU rRNA". It matches the Rfam family "Bacterial small subunit ribosomal RNA", at positions 1 to 507 of the family's 1533-position model. The record is from RNAcentral.
CUACUGACGAGUUUGAUCCUGGCUACAGAACGAACGCUGGCGGCAAGGCCUAACACAUGCAAGUCGAGCGAGGUAGCAAUACCUAGCGGCGACGGGUGAGUAACGCGUGGGAACGUACCCUUUGCUACGGAAUAGCCCCGGGAAACUGGGAGUAAUACCGUAUGUGCCCUUCGGGGGAAAGAUUUAUCGGCAAAGGAUCGGCCCGCGUUGGAUUAGGUAGUUGGUGGGGUAAUGGCCUACCAAGCCGACGAUCCCAUAGCUGGUUUGAGAGGAUGAUCAGCCACACUGGGACUGAGACACGGCCCAGACUCCUACGGGAGGCAGCAGUGGGGAAUCUUAGACAAUGGGCGCAAGCCUGAUCUAGCCAUGCCGCGUGAGUGAUGAAGGCCUUAGGGUUGUAAAGCUCUUUCAGAUGGGAAGAUAAUGACGGUACCAUCAGAAGAAGCCCCGGCUAACUCCGUG